RNAcentral lists this ribosomal RNA (253 nucleotides) under uncultured bacterium. RNAcentral describes it as "partial 16S ribosomal RNA". It matches the Rfam family "Bacterial small subunit ribosomal RNA", at positions 524 to 776 of the family's 1533-position model. The record is from RNAcentral.
UACAGAGGGGGCAAGCGUUGUUCGGAAUUACUGGGCGUAAAGGGCGCGUAGGCGGCCUGUUAAGUCGAACGUGAAAUCCCCGGGCUCAACCCGGGAACUGCGUCCGAUACUGGCAGGCUUGAAUCCGGGAGAGGGAUGUGGAAUUCCAGGUGUAGCGGUGAAAUGCGUAGAUAUCUGGAGGAACACCGGUGGCGAAGGCGGCAUCCUGGACCAAUAUUGACGCUGAGGAGCGAAAGCCAGGGGAGCAAACGGG